UUACCGUGAGGGGAAAGUUGAAAAGCACUUUGAAGAGAGAGUUCAAGAGUACGUGAAACCGUUCAGGGGUAAACCUGAGAAACCCGAAAGGUCGAAUGGGGAAAUUCAUUCGCGUUUCGAUUGUCGGCGUUGAGCGGUUGCGUGACGAACGGAGUACGCUUCGUACGCACCAUCUGUUCUUCGAUCCGGCUUCGAACGCGUGCACUUUUCCUCUAGUAGGACGUCGCGAUCCGUUGAGUGUCGAUCUAAGGCCGGUGGUGGAGAUCUCGUAGACGUUUAGGCGUUCUGCGGGAACCCGCCGAGUCCCGAUCGGCUCGCUCGACGGUAUAAAGAUGGCGUGGGGCCGCUACGUUAGUUAGCGUUCGAAAUACGGCAAGCACGUUCGUAAGAUGGCAAUCAGACCUGGUCGGAUUCCGUCUCCGGACGACUGUUGGUACGUGAAAUUCUCGAACAGACCUCAUUCGAAACGCCGAUCUGCGACGCUAUAGCUUUGGGUACUUUCAGGACCCGUCUUGAAACACGGACCAAGGAGUCUU
RNAcentral lists this ribosomal RNA (536 nucleotides) under Aslamidium capense. RNAcentral describes it as "eukaryotic LSU rRNA". It matches the Rfam family "Eukaryotic large subunit ribosomal RNA", at positions 348 to 677 of the family's 3401-position model. Lineage: Eukaryota; Metazoa; Arthropoda; Insecta; Coleoptera; Chrysomelidae. The record is from RNAcentral.